Molecule: ribosomal RNA, 588 nt
Filed under: uncultured bacterium
Lineage: Bacteria
Description: bacterial SSU rRNA
Rfam family: Bacterial small subunit ribosomal RNA
Source: RNAcentral
CCUACGGGAGGCAGCAGUGGGGAAUCUUGCGCAAUGGGGGAAACCUUGACGCAGCAACGCCGCGUGGGUGAUGAAGGCCUUCGGGUCGUAAAGCCCUGUCAGGUGGGAAGAAACAUGUCGGUGCUAAUAUCACCGAUGUUUGACGGUACCGCCGGAGGAAGCACCGGCUAACUCCGUGCCAGCAGCCGCGGUAAUACGGAGGGUGCAAGCGUUGUUCGGAAUUACUGGGCGUAAAGCGCGUGUAGGCGGUCGGGCAAGUCAGAUGUGAAAGCCUUCCGCUCAACGGAAGAAGUGCAUUUGAAACUACCCGGCUGGAGUACGGGAGAGGAGAGUGGAAUUCCCGGUGUAGAGGUGAAAUUCGUAGAUAUCGGGAGGAACACCAGUGGCGAAGGCGGCUCUCUGGUCCGAUACUGACGCUGAGACGCGAAAGCGUGGGGAGCAAACAGGAUUAGAUACCCUGGUAGUCCACGCCGUAAACGAUGGGCACUAGGUGUAGGAGGUAUUGACCCCUUCUGUGCCGAAGUUAACGCAUUAAGUGCCCCGCCUGGGGAGUACGGCCGCAAGGUUAAAACUUAAAGGAAUUGACGG